CCUCCUUGCCUUUGGGAAGAAAGAAGAGGGUGUGAUCAGUGGCAUUUUCGAAUACUGAUGGUCUUACUCAUUGAUAAGCAACAUUUUUAGUCAACAUUCAAGGUAAAGGUACUUGGUCUUUGAAUUGUAAUGGAAUAAUGAAUGACAACUCCUUAUAAAAGGCUUUGCAAAUGGAUGGGGCAGUAACAACGUGGGACACAAUGAAAUCACGGACGUGUGACUCCAACCCUGAGCUUACCCUUGGUGGGCCUGGGGGCCUUUGGGGGAUCAGAGGUCCCGUCCCUUUUCUUCAGGUACUCUGUGUCUUUGCAGGGAUAUGUCCAGAUGGGGUCUGCUCCAGCUCCUCGAGGCCCAUUCUGGGGCUGCGGAGGUGACCCAAGCAUGCUGAGUUCAUGCCACUCCACAGCCUUCUCCUGCAAACCUUUCCCCACCUUUCUGCCAGAUCACAGAAAUAUAGUUCAUCAGCAAAGAGGUAUUGAAUGCCCCUGUGUGCCAGCCUCAGCUCCAUGUGCAGAGGAUACAGAAGCAAGGUAAUUGUCUGCUUUUAUGGGCUCAUAUUCUAGAAGGGGACUCAGAAGACAAAAUAAGAUGCACUAUGUGUCUGGUGGCAAAACAUGCCUCAGAGAAGAGUAAGAGGAUGUAGGGAGCUGAUGGAGAAGAUUAUUUCAUACAGGCUGGCAGGGAAGGCCUGCGGGGCAUACCUGAAGGAAGUGAGGCAGGACCCUAUGGCUAUCUGGGAAUAGACUCUUUCAACAGAAGGAACUCCUGGCCUAUUAAAAAAAAGAAGAAAGAGAGAGAGAGAGAGGGAGAGAGAGAAAGAAAAAGGAGACAAAAGGCAAGAGGCAAGGCAAGAGGGUGAACUUGGAGUGGUAGAAGGGGCAGCCAGAUCCUACAGGGCCCUGCAGGCUGUGAUAAGGACGUUAGAUUUUCCCCUGAAUCAGAUGCGAACCAUUAGUGGGUUUUGAGAGGCUGGACAUGAUCUGACAUGUUUGAGAAGGAGUACUGAGGCUGCUGUGCAGACAGAUGACUGUAAAGAGGCAGAGGAGGAAGCAGGAAGACCAGUAAGGAUACUAUUGCAUCGGCCCAGAUGAGAGAUGAUGGAAGUUUAGACCAUGAUGGUAACAGGAGGCAAGAUAAGUAGUGGUCAGAUUAUGGAUAU
Molecule: long non-coding RNA, 1159 nt
Filed under: Felis catus (domestic cat)
Lineage: Eukaryota; Metazoa; Chordata; Mammalia; Carnivora; Felidae
Description: lncRNA (ENSFCAG00000043120.2)
Source: RNAcentral